Molecule: ribosomal RNA, 464 nt
Filed under: uncultured bacterium
Lineage: Bacteria
Description: partial 16S ribosomal RNA
Rfam family: Bacterial small subunit ribosomal RNA
Source: RNAcentral
CUACGGGCUGCUGCAGUGGGGAAUAUUGCACAAUGGGCGCAAGCCUGAUGCAGCCAUGCCGCGUGUAUGAAGAAGGCCUUCGGGUUGUAAAGUACUUUCAGCGGGGAGGAAGGGAGUAAAGUUAAUACCUUUGCUCAUUGACGUUACCCGCAGAAGAAGCGCCGGCUAACUCCGUGCCAGCAGCCGCGGUAAUACGGAGGGUGCAAGCGUUAAUCGGAAUUACUGGGCGUAAAGCGCACGCAGGCGGUUUGUUAAGUCAGAUGUGAAAUCCCCGGGCUCAACCUGGGAACUGCAUCUGAUACUGGCAAGCUUGAGUCUCGUAGAGGGGGGUAGAAUUUCAGGUGUAGCGGUGAAAUGCGUAGAGAUCUGGAGGAAUACCGGUGGCGAAGGCGGCCCCCUGGACGAAGACUGACGCUCAGGUGCGAAAGCGUGGGGAGCAAACAGGAUUAGAUACCCCGGUAGUC